This 97-nucleotide microRNA precursor is filed under the name Ovis aries (sheep). Its description in RNAcentral is "miRNA (ENSOARG00000024318.1, ENSOARG00020055289.1)". The record is from RNAcentral. Lineage: Eukaryota; Metazoa; Chordata; Mammalia; Artiodactyla; Bovidae.
UAAUUUAAAAUGGGUUGGCCAGAAAGUUCAUUCAGGUCCUUCCCUAACAUCUUACAAAAAAACCUGAAUGAACUUUUUGGCCAACAAGAUUUAAUUG